GGAGUUGUGGCUAAGAGGUAGAGCGCACGCCUACCAUGCGUGAAGCACUGGGUUCUAUCCUCAGCACCA
This 69-nucleotide transfer RNA is filed under the name Ictidomys tridecemlineatus (thirteen-lined ground squirrel). RNAcentral describes it as "Spermophilus tridecemlineatus (thirteen-lined ground squirrel) tRNA". It matches the Rfam family "tRNA". Rfam says of the family: Transfer RNA (tRNA) molecules are approximately 80 nucleotides in length. Their secondary structure includes four short double-helical elements and three loops (D, anti-codon, and T loops). Further hydrogen bonds mediate the characteristic L-shaped molecular structure. tRNAs have two regions of fundamental functional importance: the anti-codon, which is responsible for specific mRNA codon recognition, and the 3' end, to which the tRNAs corresponding amino acid is attached (by aminoacyl-tRNA synthetases). tRNAs cope with the degeneracy of the genetic code in two manners: having more than one tRNA (with a specific anti-codon) for a particular amino acid; and 'wobble' base-pairing, i.e. permitting non-standard base-pairing at the 3rd anti-codon position. The record is from Rfam by way of RNAcentral. Lineage: Eukaryota; Metazoa; Chordata; Mammalia; Rodentia; Sciuridae.